GAAGAAGAAGAAGAAGAAGAAGAAGAAGAAGAAGGAGAAACAAAAUUUGUGUGCAUAGACUUGUAUGAUCCAUAGAGUCUUGAUUGAACCACAAAACUCUCAGACUCAGAUGUCCUGAAAACCUACUCCUGGUCUACAUGGCUCCCCUCUAUGCUUCCUGUCUUGCUGCUGUGCCCAUCUCUGAACAUCUGCCACAGUGCAUUUUAACCACCUCACAUUCCAAGGUACCUGGUCCUUGACAGAAGAAUUGAUAGGGAUCUUCACCUACCUGGUGCUUACCACAGAAACUGGAGCCCAUCAAGAAGAUUUCAGCAUGUGCUUUGUGCCUGUCUGCGUGAGAAGGAUGGGCUACUGUGUGUAUCACCUCCCAGAACAGUGUUCUCAGUCUGGGUGUCAAAAACUCUUUGUGGCUGACACACAGCAUGUGGAGUCCAAAUGCAUGCAAACUGUGAAUAUAGUGAGGCUUUCUGUGGUGAUUGUGCAGAGUGCUGACAAGCUGCUGUAAUUUGGGGACUUUUGCAAUGAUCUCAAGUCAUCAGUUAUAAUGUCUUAGAGUGGGGUACAUUUACAUUGUCUCCUUGCUUCCCUCAAAUCUCCUGCCUGAUCCCCUUGCUUGUUUUAGUUUUAUUCUCUACUAAAGGCUUCUCCAAGCAUCAGACAUGCAGGAGUCACAGAACCCAAGGUCUAAAGCUCUUUGGUAUCAGUCUUAAGGAUGACACAGUCCACUUCUUAUCCUUGGUAUUUUGCCUACAAUU
Peromyscus eremicus (cactus mouse) is the source of this 755-nucleotide long non-coding RNA. RefSeq lists it as uncharacterized. The record is from RefSeq and is a predicted model, not a curated record. The transcript is spliced from 3 exons. Lineage: Eukaryota; Metazoa; Chordata; Mammalia; Rodentia; Cricetidae.